GAGAGGCAGAUGGAAUUGGUGGUGUAGGGGUAAAAUCCGUAGAGAUCACCAGGAAUACCCAUUGCGAAGGCGAUCUGCUGGAACUCAACUGACGCUAAUGCGUGAAAGCGUGGGGAGCAAACAGGAUUAGAUACCCUGGUAGUCCACGCCCUAAACGAUGUAUACUAGUUGUUGCUAAGCUAGUCUUGGCAGUAAUGCACCUAACGGAUUAAGUAUACCGCCUGGGGAGUACGGUCGCAAGAUUAAAACUCAAAGGAAUAGACGGGGACCCGCACAAGCGGUGGAGCAUGUGGUUUAAUUCGAAGAUACGCGAAGAACCUUACCCGGACUUGAUAUCUAACAAAUCAUCUAGAGAUAGAAGAGUGUCUGCUUGCAGAAAUGUUAAGACAGGUGCUGCACGGCUGUCGUCAGCUCGUGUCGUGAGAUGUUGGGUUAAGUCCCGCAACGAGCGCAACCCACGUCAUUAGUUGCUAACAGUUCGGCUGAGCACUCUAAUGAGACUGCCUUCGUAAGGAGGAGGAAGGUGUGGACGACGUCAAGUCAUCAUGGCCCUUAUGUCCGGGGCGACACACGUGCUACA
RNAcentral lists this ribosomal RNA (580 nucleotides) under Campylobacter concisus. RNAcentral's name for it is "bacterial SSU rRNA". It matches the Rfam family "Bacterial small subunit ribosomal RNA", at positions 652 to 1229 of the family's 1533-position model. Lineage: Bacteria; Pseudomonadati; Campylobacterota; Epsilonproteobacteria; Campylobacterales; Campylobacteraceae. The record is from RNAcentral.